UGGGGAAUAUUGCACAAUGGGCGAAAGCCUGAUGCAGCAACGCCGCGUGAGUGAUGAAGGUCUUCGGAUUGUAAAGCUCUGUCUUUUGGGACGAUAAUGACGGUACCAAAGGAGGAAGCCACGGCUAACUACGUGCCAGCAGCCGCGGUAAUACGUAGGUGGCGAGCGUUGUCCGGAUUUACUGGGCGUAAAGGGUGCGUAGGCGGAUGUUUAAGUAAGAUGUGAAAUACCCGGGCUUAACUUGGGUGCUGCAUUUCAAACUGGAUAUCUAGAGUGCAGGAGAGGAGAAUGGAAUUCCUAGUGUAGCGGUGAAAUGCGUAGAGAUUAGGAAGAACACCAGUGGCGAAGGCGAUUCUCUGGACUGUAACUGACGCUGAGGCACGAAAGCGUGGGUAGCAAACAGGAUUAGAUACCCUGGUAGUCCACGCCGUAAACGAUGAGUACUAGGUGUAGGAGGUAUCGACCCCUUCUGUGCCGCAGUAAACACAUUAAGUACUCCGCCUGGGAAGUACGAUCGCAAGAUUAAAACUCUAAAGUGAAUUGAC
RNAcentral lists this ribosomal RNA (545 nucleotides) under uncultured bacterium. RNAcentral describes it as "partial 16S ribosomal RNA". It matches the Rfam family "Bacterial small subunit ribosomal RNA", at positions 355 to 914 of the family's 1533-position model. The record is from RNAcentral.